AAACAGGUGUCAACCUUGGUUUCGUGGUAAAACACUUGGUAUAAUUCAUGCUCUGUUAUGGAAAGAUCUCAGGAUCUGUUGUUGGGUGACACUGAUUCUGGAGCACCGCUAAAAGACCUUUUUCACCAGCAACAUUGGCAGAAGGACUAAAAGGGGGGAAAAGUAGAUCCUUAUUCUAUAGCCUUUUAAAAUUUAUGGAAACAAUCAACAUACCUGAUAUUAUAUUCUCUUGGGCCCCAGCAGUUGUGAAAGCUGUCCUCCCAAAGGAUUGAAUAAGGAAGACAGAGAAAAAGGUCAAGGAACGAGGACUUUUUUUUUUUUUUUUUUCAAUGCUUAUUGCUUAGAAGUCUUAAUUUCACUUUCCUAACCUGCUAUGAUAGAACUACGGUGGGGAUGGGGUAUGAUUUUCUUUUGAGCUACUUGCUACAAGCAAUGUAAGAGGAAGUUGUUUUUCCAUUCUCAGUUCUAGAAAGUAUAAAUCAAAUGGGGAGAGUAAUUUUUAUUAUAUUUGUAUUAUUGUGGGAAUUUACUCUAUUUGUAAACCUACUGAAUUAGAUAUAAAAUGAAAAUGGUUUAGCUUUCUUUAUAAUAUAUUCUGCUCAGAGAAUAAGAAUGUGAUCUGAGUCCAUUUGAAAGACAUCAAUUACUAAGGGACAGCUUUAAAAAUAGUAAGCAAGGCUGACAAACUUCAGUGAAACCCUAACUUUGCUUCUUACUUUCUUCUAAUUCUGCUGGGUGAUCUAAAGAAUCUAUGACAAUCUGAAACAAACUAACAAACAAAAACCCCUUCAGGUUGCCUCAAUUACAAUCUAGCUAAGAAAUUCUGACAUCAAUAUGCCCUGAAGGGCUGCAGCAGAAGCAGUGGGGAAAUCACACUCCAAUGCAGUUGUUGUAAUGGCCAGCCACGGCAAGAACUGACAGUAAAGAGAGUCCAGAUUACUGAGAGAUAAAAAGAGAGGCUGUUUUCUUAUUAUCUGUCCUCAUACAUUCUACCGUGGCUCCCUCAACUCUGUAAAGAAUGACUCUCAGAAGAACCCUGACCCAAAAGAAUCUAAAAGAGAGGUCACAAACCCAAAUGCCAGCCAGAUUCAGAAGUUGUUCUGGCUGCUGUUGUCAUCUUUUCUGGCUGGCCGAGAUCUGAUGCAGCAGCCUCCAGAAAU
Long non-coding RNA from Mustela erminea (ermine), 1160 nucleotides. RefSeq lists it as uncharacterized. The transcript has 5 exons. Lineage: Eukaryota; Metazoa; Chordata; Mammalia; Carnivora; Mustelidae. The record is from RefSeq and is a predicted model, not a curated record.